Molecule: ribosomal RNA, 468 nt
Filed under: uncultured bacterium
Lineage: Bacteria
Description: partial 16S ribosomal RNA
Rfam family: Bacterial small subunit ribosomal RNA
Source: RNAcentral
UGGGGAAUUUUGGACAAUGGGCGAAAGCCUGAUCCAGCAAUGCCGCGUGUGUGAAGAAGGCCUUCGGGUUGUAAAGCACUUUUGUCCGGAAAGAAAUCCUUGGCUCUAAUACAGUCGGGGGAUGACGGUACCGGGAAGAAUAAGCACCGGCUAACUACGUGCCAGCAGCCGCGGUAAUACGUAGGGUGCAAGCGUUAAUCGGAAUUACUGGGCGUAAAGCGUGCGCAGGCGGUUUGCUAAGACCGAUGUGAAAUCCCCGGGCUCAACCUGGGAACUGCAUGGUGACUGGCAGGCUAGAGUAUGGCAGAGGGGGGUAGAAUUCCACGUGUNGCAGUGAAAUGCGUAGAGAUGUGGAGGAAUACCGAUGGCGAAGGCAGCCCCCUGGGCCAAUACUGACGCUCAUGCACGAAAGCGUGGGGAGCAAACAGGAUUCAGAUACCCUGGUAGUCCAGCGCCCUAAACGAUGUC